UACGAAGGGGGCUAGCGUUGCUCGGAAUCACUGGGCGUAAAGCGCACGUAGGCGGGCUCUUAAGUCGGUGGUGAAAUCCUGGGGCUCAACUCCAGAACUGCCUCCGAUACUGAGAGUCUUCGAGUCCGGAAGAGGUGAGUGGAACUGCGAGUGUAGAGGUGAAAUUCGUAGAUAUUCGCAAGAACACCAGUGGCGAAGGCGGCUCACUGGCCCGGUACUGACGCUGAGGUGCGAAAGCGUGGGGAGCAAACAGG
This 254-nucleotide ribosomal RNA is filed under the name uncultured bacterium. RNAcentral's name for it is "partial 16S ribosomal RNA". It matches the Rfam family "Bacterial small subunit ribosomal RNA", at positions 524 to 776 of the family's 1533-position model. The record is from RNAcentral.